CUCUUUCAUGAACUUUAUUUUUAUAUUUUCUAUGAAAAAGCGUUUGCUGGUUUAUUAAUUUUAUUUUUUUUGGAUUAAAAGAUAAUAAGAUGUUGAAACAAUUUAAAAUCGUGCAGAAGAGAUACUACAUGGUAAAUUAUCGAAGCUCCAAUGUUUUUACAAGCGCACGACCCUUUCAAUACAAAAAGUUCUAGUGUUCCUGACUUCAUCACAAGGAUGUUAAUAGUUCAAUCAAGAAAAACAAAAAUGAGCCAUAAAGCUUCCUCAUGGCCGGCCUAUACACAUACUACACAGGUGAAAUUCCUCGGGCAAGGGUUUGAAGAUAAGGGACUUACAAUACAAGUAGUGGAAAUUACGGCUUUUGGGACACCGGAGAAUGCCCUGUCAACGAGGAUCCUAACUGAAGCAUAAGUGGGUAUACAGGGCUAAAUUCCUUAUCUCCUCUAGAUCUAACCUUCACAGCAUAAUCAUCUAGUGUGGUUUUAAUACCUUUCCAAAUCUGAUCCUCUCCUUGAGAAUCUAGCCACAAUGAAUACUGCAGAGGUGUAAGUUUGUUUCUUUGCAAUGGAGACUGCAAUUCAUCAGGUCCUCGGGAGUAAAGGUGGUGCAGUAUGACACUUGGUGGCAGAUCUUGAAGAACAGGAGAAGCUUCGAGUUGAGAUGUCUCCAAGAAAAUAAGAGGCCGAAAUGCUCGGAGAGCCCGGUAGGGCAGACCAAGUUGUUCAACUGGGUACAAAUUUUGACCCACAGCUAAUUCAAGCUCAGCCAUGUCUCUAGCCAUUCUGAGUUUACCUGAUUCUGACAGUGGUCGUACAAGCGAAGCAUGUCUAAUAAAAAAUGUCAAAACCCUAGACGCCAUGCUUCUUACAAGCUGGGUGCAAAUAGUUUCAGCCCCUGCAGCUGCAGCAUUUGUUGAAGAAGGUAACAACCUAGACAAGAACUCAGUACGAAAGUGAAGGAUAGACUUCUGCAACUCCUCCAUGUAAGGUGAAGUGUUGUUGUCCAUUGCAGCAUCCAUGCCAAGAACACCAAAGUUCUGUUCAUGAAUGUGCAAGAUGCACGAUUCUAGACGGUCAACCAUUGCUUUGAACAAAGGUGUAACUGAAUCACGGGCAACCCCAUAUAUUGCACCCAGUGAGGGAGAUAACACUUCUGCAGCAAUAGUGGGCAGUCCAAUAAUCAUAGAUGAUAUGGAAGUGUGAACUUCUUGUAGAUGCUGACAUAAAGCGAAGUUCUUGAUUUGUGCUGGAGUUGCAGGACCCAUAAUUUGGCGAGCCUCAUGACCAGCGGAUAUCUGCCAUUCAGAUGCAAUUUGUGAUCUUUCAAAUGACAAUGCUAACUUGUUAAUCAUGAGAAAUCAAAAUGCCUAGGUUGUAGAACCCUAAAAAUAAUAGAAUCGCAUUGUUUAAGUUUCAGCAUUUUCUUUAUAUAGUUAAUAAGACUUUGCCAAUGAAUGUUGUAUUGCUGAAUGAUCAUCAAAUAACAAAUAGAGUGAACGGUCUACCAGUGUUUAUCCUAUUUGAUCCAUAACCUCCAACUUUUAAUACUAAGACAUCAACAAAUUGUAGAAAUGAAUGCACAGGGAAUGCCAUAAAAAUAUAUAAGAAACUAGUCCACCAAUGUCAUUUUAGUGUACACCAAGUAAGCAUUAUGACAAAAAGAAAGAAGCAGAGUUGCUCGACACUGGAAUUCCAAGAAUCCAUCAACAUUGCAUCAGAAGGUGGCCAUUCUUCAUUUCUUUGGAUUAUGGUUACAAUUGCAGCAUGUACUGAUAUGAUAGAACAUGUAACAUAAAUAAUUACAAGAUAAUAAUUUUACUAGAGAAGUGUUAUGCAGCAAUAUCACCAAUAAAAAGACCAACGAAAAGGACACAGAAAGAACAAAUUAUGGAAUUGUGGUAAUGCUCUGACUCUGAGUAGGAUAUACAAGUGGAUUAUCAUUAUGUGUCAUAUGAGGAACAACUCCACAUACAUAGCCCAAGAUAUGCCUCCAAAUGACAACAGACCAUAGAGAGAGAAGGGGGAAAAGAAAAGAAAAUAAAAAUCAAUAGCAUAUUUUUCUGUCAAAAUACCUGGUAUUCUGCUCGUUCUGCAAGCAGAAGCAAGGCCUUGCCAAUUUCAUGCAGCACAAGAAGAGUCAAUCGUCCAUCCAACUGAACACCUUCAAUUUCUUCCUGGAUGCGUGAUAUAAUCCAAGAGAUUUGUUCUUUGGAGGGAAUGCUUCCACGACUGGACACAGGGAAAACAGUAUUUACAAUGUCUGAAAGGCGACUUAAACACAAAGCCAAGAAAGCUGUCUGGAAAAUCUCAAUAGCUUGAACCAUCUGUUCUUUCCCUUCCAAGCUAAUGGCUGGUAAAACCCCUUUGAUAUCCGUAUCCUGUGAAAUCCUUUCUAGUAGGUUAUCUAUCAUUGAGAAGAGUUUAGGAUAUCCCACAGUAAAUAUCUCCUUAACAAAACUUGAUGCAGUGAAAGCAGACUUCAUUUGGCUUGCAAAAGCCUUCACUAGUGCCUCCCAAACUCGAUCAGUUAACAUGGAAUCACCUUCCUUGAUAACCUCAUCAAGCAGCAAAACAUGCGUAAAUGGAUCUCUCUUCUUGGACAAGACCCUCUGCAAAUGCCAAACGGCAACCACUACGGAAUGCAAUUUAUCGAUACAUGUUCCCAUUCUCUGCCAUAGCGCUUCUCUGGCUCUCGCCCCCCCUCCAAUUUGAGGUGUUCCACUCCCUCUAACCCCUCCCGGCCCAUACCCACCGCCGCCGCCUCCGGCGGAAAUGGCCUUCAUAUCCAACGCUACACUCACACUCUUCACCCCAAUCCCCUUGUAUUUAUUCACCAGUUGCUCCACUGUAACCUUUAACUCUCCCAAAUUAUAGAACACUUGCAAUCCUGUACCAACUUCAGCCUGAUUCAAUCCCCCCAUUCCCCUCUCCAGAACUUUCAUUGCCUCGUCUCGCAGUCUUUCGCCAAUUUCUUUAAUCCAAUUGAGCUCUUCAUCAAUGCAAUCGAUUCCCAUCAAGUCAUAUUCACUGCACAUAUUCAAGAUCUCACAAUGGAGCUGGGCUGCCUUGGCCAGAUCCAGCUUCUCAGGCUCUGUCUCCGAGGCCGAGAUCAGAUCACGGAGCUUCUUUGAAAGUCGGAGAGCACGGAUCGUGUGUUGCAAAAGCUCCGUGGUGCAAUGGAGAUUGGAGAGUUGGAGGGUUUUGGAUUGGAUGGAUUUAUGGGGUUCGGAAAGCUCUGAUCGUACGCGGCGCACAGAUGACUGUAGGGAGGAUACGGCGGAUCUAACGGUGGAGAGAGCGUGUUCAGCAUGCUUGAGAGAUGAUAAUUGGUUGAGGAGUUCAGUGUGGCGAGAUAGGACUUCAGUGCGGAGUUGGGAUUCGAGGAGGCGGAUGGCAUGGUGGAGGUGUUCGGCAGUGGAAGCCGGGGACCCAGAAGAGAGGGCCGCAGAAGAGAAGGAAGUGGAGGAGAAGGAUGAGGAGAGAAAAGGGGAGAGGAUAGGGUCUUUGGCAAAUGAGUCUAAGGGGGAAGCUGCGGCGGUGGUAGGUGGAAGAUGGGAGGAAGAGGAGGGAUUUUUGAAGGUAGAGAGGCGUUGGAGAGGGGAUGCAGAAGACGAGGCAGUGGCGGAGGAGGGGAGUGGAGAUC
This 3642-nucleotide unclassified non-coding RNA is filed under the name Hevea brasiliensis (rubber tree). Lineage: Eukaryota; Viridiplantae; Streptophyta; Magnoliopsida; Malpighiales; Euphorbiaceae. The record is from RNAcentral.